This 424-nucleotide ribosomal RNA is filed under the name bacterium V15. RNAcentral's name for it is "bacterial SSU rRNA". It matches the Rfam family "Bacterial small subunit ribosomal RNA", at positions 73 to 511 of the family's 1533-position model. The record is from RNAcentral.
GCCCAGCUUGCUGGGUGGAUUAGUGGCGAACGGGUGAGUAACACGUGAGUAACCUGCCCUUGACUCUGGGAUAAGCGUUGGAAACGACGUCUAAUACCGGAUACGAGCUUCCACCGCAUGGUGAGUUGCUGGAAAGAAUUUUGGUCAAGGAUGGACUCGCGGCCUAUCAGCUUGUUGGUGAGGUAACGGCUCACCAAGGCGACGACGGGUAGCCGGCCUGAGAGGGUGACCGGCCACACUGGGACUGAGACACGGCCCAGACUCCUACGGGAGGCAGCAGUGGGGAAUAUUGCACAAUGGGCNAAAGCCUGAUGCAGCAACGCCGCGUGAGGGACGACGGCCUUCGGGUUGUAAACCUCUUUUAGCAGGGAAGAAGCGAAAGUGACGGUACCUGCAGAAAAANCNCCGGCUAACUACNUGCCAG